UGGGGAAUAUUGCACAAUGGGCGCAAGCCUGAUGCAGCCAUGCCGCGUGUAUGAAGAAGGCCUUCGGGUUGUAAAGUACUUUCAGUCGGGAGGAAGGUGGUAAGGUUAAUAACCUUGGCAAUUGACGUUACCGACAGAAGAAGCACCGGCUAACUCCGUGCCAGCAGCCGCGGUAAUACGGAGGGUGCAAGCGUUAAUCGGAAUUACUGGGCGUAAAGCGCACGCAGGCGGUUGAUUGAGUCAGAUGUGAAAUCCCCGGGCUUAACCCGGGAAUUGCAUCUGAUACUGGUCAGCUAGGGUCUUGUAGAGGGGGGUAGAAUUCCAUGUGUAGCGGUGAAAUGCGUAGGGAUGUGGGGGGAUACCGGUGGCGAAGGCGGCCCCCUGGACAAAGACUGACGCUCAGGUGCGAAAGCGUGGGGAGCAAACAGG
This 429-nucleotide ribosomal RNA is filed under the name Chloroflexota bacterium. RNAcentral's name for it is "Chloroflexi bacterium partial 16S ribosomal RNA". It matches the Rfam family "Bacterial small subunit ribosomal RNA", at positions 355 to 776 of the family's 1533-position model. The record is from RNAcentral. Lineage: Bacteria; Bacillati; Chloroflexota.